AUUUUUAUUCCUUUAUUGUUGUUUCUUUUAUCUACAUGUAAGCCAGGGGGUGAGAAAAGGACCCAGAAUUCAAACAUGGGGAAGAUCUGGAUGAACUUGGGAACUAUUCUAGUAUUUUAGAGUCUGGAGAAUACUGUAGGGAAAAGUAUUCCGAAAACAAAGACCCGAGAAGAAUGCUGAAGCAGCUUUCUCUGGAGACACACCCUGCACAGUAAAGGAGUUCCCAGACACCUUUCUGCCUGGAUCCAGCUACUUUUCUUUGAGUUGGAGAACAAUAUUUGGAAACCUCUGACUGACAACAGCACACUGAUGAGUAGAUAUCCUUUGAUGUGGAGUGAAUGAUCAUGCCAUCAACCUUCAUAGUGCUGGCCAGUGAGAAACCUCUGAAAAUAACAUGAAAAGAACAAGAACAUAAGUGAUCAGUACAGAAAAGGCAAAACUUCGUAAUAAUAAGAUAAACAGACAAAGAUAAAAAUUAAGUUACAAAAGCAAAAGUUAUAAAAAUUUGUAAUCUUUAAAAUUCUUGUAGUGUUAUAGCAUGUUGUUACAUUCACGAAAUUUCAUUUUUAUUAAUAAAACUAUUUAAUUGAUAAUAAAAUGAGGGAAAUUCCAUUAAAGUAAGCAUUGCCUAUGGUGUCACCACUGUACAAGUUUGGUAAUAUCUGAAUACUCAAACUAUUUCAGUAAAGGAAAAAAGAAAACACAUGAAAAAUUGUUGUGUAUAACUGAGCAUAUGCAAAGAUACCCUUCCCAAAAAUUAUGAACAAAAAAUUUUAAAGAAUUUAAAAGAAAAAAUGAAAUGUCAAGAGUAAUUUUUUUAAUGUGACUGAUCCUAAAAUUCUGUAUUUUACUCUAUCUUUAGCAACUGUGAAAGAUAAGACACAGCACAUCAAAAUUCAACUAUCAUAUGGUUUCACUUGGUUCUUUUUAACAGUUUCCUGUAGUCAACAACAAGCUAAACCAUAUUAGUGGGAGAAAUCAAAAGAAACAUAAAACUCUAAAAGAAAAAGAUAUAUAUUCCAAAGAAAAAAAACUUAAAAAAAUCUAAUAAAACACCCAAAAUAAGAGCUAAUUACUGUCUGGCAGAACUAAUUAAUGAAAAAAGAAUUCAAAGCUGAAUGAAAGCUUUAUUACAUCUCCAUUACUAUGGAAUAACACCUUGAGGUACUUGUACAAAAAAGCUGGCUUUUGUUCAUUUUUCUUUUCUUUUUCUUUCUUUUUUUUUUUUUUUUGGAACAAUGACUUCUGGGGAUUUGUGUUUCUUUUUCCAAAAAUUAUACCUUAAUAGUGUAAAUACAAUAAAUAAAUGCACUAUUAAGCUUUUCCUAAGACUCUUAAUGAUAAUUUUCAAGAAAGAAUCUCAAACUCAACUAUAAUGGUGGAAGAAGCUUCUAUUUUUGAGAAUACUGUGUUAAUCCUAUAUAGCUAUAGCCCAAGAGCCAGGAUUUGACUUUCAAGUCCUAAAAAAGUCAUUAUCAAGAGGCUCUACUUUAGUCAUGUAACUGCAAAUUUGAUCCAGGUUUCCUUUUCUAAAUAGGGGCUAUCAAAAAGAAUAAAGGACCAGCCAUACUUAACAAUCUUUAAGUGUAUGGGAAAUACGAUGUCCACGUAUAGCUCAUUAUCUGAGUGGGGUGUUUGGUUUGCCUAAUCUUCAACAAUUAAAUAGGGCAAUACACAAAAACUAAGGCCCGCUCAAACUUUUACAUUUUCACUCAGAAAAAGAAGAUGCUCAGAUCUUGUGAAUUACCUGUCCUGUUUCAUAGGUAGCACCUGUAUUGCUGCUACACAUCUGUGGAAGCACAAUAUCAGCCAACUGUUAAUCAAGGAUCACUUCCCUUCAAAGUGACUGAUGAUCCACUGUUAAAACAGCUUAUAAAAAUAACUUCUCCUUCGAAAAGGUGCUUCAGGGUUUUCAGACACAUCUCACCAUUCCUGCUAGCUUAAUGCAUGUUUGAAAGUUAAUUUCUCAUUAAUAUUUAAAGAAGUGGCUUCAGAACAAAUUUUAAAUGAUCCAUUACAUUUUAGAAAUAAAAUAUUAUUGGCAUUAUUUUCAUCUCGAUUACAAGGAAUAAUAAUGUCCAAGAUUGGCUUUUAAAACUGUUAAUGAGCCCUGGCAAUGUGAAAAAGAUAUGGAUUAGGUAGAUGUAAUGAGAUAUGAUUAAAGGGUGCAGGCACUGAAGGGUGUUGGAGAAAUUCUUUUCUGAAAGAGUAUAAUUAGUGUCUGAUAAAAGUACUUAGUAGAUAAGAUUUUUGAAGAAGAAAGGUUAAGAUAAACACAUACUUUAUGACAAACCUGCUUAAUUUUUCCCCUUUGGUUCUCUUACGUACUCAAUAUUAUGUUGAAGUUUCAUACAUAAAUAAUGUUUGUCAAAUACUUCAUGCAAUUCUACCAGACAAUUAGAGUGUUUUAAUUGCCAGACACGGAGAGCAGAAAAUGUGUUGAAACAUCUUAUUCCAUUUUCAGUGUACAUUUCUUUGUUGAUUUAUGUAAUGUAGCUAAUAAUAUGCAACCUACCCUAGUUUUAAACAAACAAAUGAACUUCUAAAAAGCAAGCUUUCCAUAAGUUGCUAAGCAACUCCAAAGGCACAUUUUAUCAAUUUAAUAAAUAACAUUUAGAUGGCAAAUCCUUAAGGAAAAUUUCUAACUCUGUUUUAUAAGAAGUAGAAAAUCCAAGCAGGUACCCUUUUGAUUUUCCUGUUUCUAAGGCCUUGGGGCUAGACAGAGGCACUGCUGUCUUCAGAGUGCAGUGGACUCACUAAACAAAACAUUUUGUCAGCUGAGGUUGUUAUAUAAUAGAAGUUACGUUCUGCGACUCAUUGUAUUAGCUCUCCAGAGUUAGAGCUCAUGCUUCAUUUUGGACCAGGGAAUUUGUUGCUGGGAUGGGGGUAGGGUCUCCCAUGUUUAGCACUAUCUAUCCCUGGCUUCUACUCACUAGAUGCCAGUAGUGGCCCGCUAGUCGUUAAAACUAAAAAUGCCUCCGGACCUUGCCAAAUGUGACUGUGGUGGGGGCAGGGAGGGUGGUAGGGUGUCAAAAUCACACCCAGUUGAGACAGUUGAGAACCACUACAGAUGAAUAAUGAGUAAACAUGCUCUGAGAAAGAUAUCGUGAGCUUAAAUGGAAAAGGAAAUAUUGUGAUAUUAGUUUCCAUUAGUCAACACCUAAUAUCUCCUAUAGAACCACCAACAAUGAAGAAUAAAGGAGUAGUACUGACUUUAGGAGUACUGUGGCUCUUGCUCCUUUCAAGGAUCACUGUUGAUUUUAUCAUUUCAAUGUAAUUCCCACUGUAUAAAAAUUGAGGAGAAAAAGUCUUGUCAUAGCUCUGUCUUUGUAGUAAUAUUCCAAUCCAGAACUACCCCAAAAUCUUUUCCCCUACCCUUUCUCCCUCAAUUUUUACUUUACUGGGUUGCUGGCCAGAGUCAUUCUAAACAUAAAUCUUAAUUUUAAUAAAGCCAUUCUCUGGCCAUAGGGCCACAGUAGGUCUCUAUCACUUCUACUAUCAAAUACAAACACAUGUUGUUUAAGGUUUCCUACAAAUUACCACCAAACCCCAUCUUACCAAAUAUCUUUCUCAUUCUCCAUUUAUACCACCUUUACUGCCUCAAAAACAAACAGCUUGUGUACGCUAAUCUUCCUAUGUGACACAUAAAGGACAAUUCAUUUCCUCCAUGA
RNAcentral lists this long non-coding RNA (3671 nucleotides) under Canis lupus familiaris (dog). RNAcentral's name for it is "lncRNA (ENSCAFG00000057572.1)". The record is from RNAcentral. Lineage: Eukaryota; Metazoa; Chordata; Mammalia; Carnivora; Canidae.